RNAcentral lists this ribosomal RNA (497 nucleotides) under uncultured bacterium. RNAcentral's name for it is "partial 16S ribosomal RNA". It matches the Rfam family "Bacterial small subunit ribosomal RNA", at positions 28 to 507 of the family's 1533-position model. The record is from RNAcentral.
GAUGAACGCUGGCGGCGUGCCUAAUACAUGUAAGUCGAGCGAACAGAUAAGGAGCUUGCUCCUUUGACGUUAGCGGCGGACGGGUGAGUAACACGUGGAUAACCUACCUAUAAGACUGGGAUAACUUCGGGAAACCGGAGCUAAUACCGGAUAACAUAUUGAACCGCAUGGUUCAAUAGUGAAAGGCGGCUUUGCUGUCACUUAUAGAUGGAUCCGCGCCGUAUUAGCUAGUUGGUAAGGUAACGGCUUACCAAGGCAACGAUACGUAGCCGACCUGAGAGGGUGAUCGGCCACACUGGAACUGAGACACGGUCCAGACUCCUACGGGAGGCAGCAGUAGGGAAUCUUCCGCAAUGGGCGAAAGCCUGACGGAGCAACGCCGCGUGAGUGAUGAAGGUCUUCGGAUCGUAAAACUCUGUUAUCAGGGAAGAACAAAUGUGUAAGUAACUGUGCACAUCUUGACGGUACCUGAUCAGAAAGCCACGGCUAACUACGUG